CCUACGGGAGACUGCAGUGAGGAAUAUUGGUCAAUGGGCGGAAGCCUGAACCAGCCAAGUCGCGUGCAGGAUGACGGCCCUACGGGUUGUAAACUGCUUUUAUACGGGAAUAACGCGCCUUACGUGUAGGGCUUUGCAUGUACCGUAUGAAUAAGGACCGGCUAAUUCCGUGCCAGCAGCCGCGGUAAUACGGUAGGUCCGGGCGUUAUCCGGAUUUAUUGGGGUUAAAGGGUGCGUAGGCGGCGCUUCAGGUCAGCGGUGAAAUACCGGGGCUCAACCCCGGGGCUGCCGUUGAAACCGGAGCGCUAGAAUUCCGAUGCCGUCGGAGGAAUGUGUGGUGUAGCGGUGAAAUGCAUAGAUAUCACACAGAACACCGAUGGCGAAGGCAUCUGACGAAUCGGAGAUUGACGCUGAUGCACGAAAGCGUGGGUAGCGAACAGGAUUAGAUACCCGUGUAGUC
This 460-nucleotide ribosomal RNA is filed under the name uncultured bacterium. RNAcentral's name for it is "partial 16S ribosomal RNA". It matches the Rfam family "Bacterial small subunit ribosomal RNA", at positions 338 to 795 of the family's 1533-position model. The record is from RNAcentral.